GUCCGGAAUUACUGGGCGUAAAGAGCUCGUAGGUGGUUUGUCGCGUUGUUCGUGAAAUCUCACGGUUUAACUGUGAGCGUGCGGGCGAUACGGGCAGACUUGAGUACUGCAGGGGAGACUGGAAUUCCUGGUGUAGCGGUGGAAUGCGCAGAUAUCAGGAGGAACACCGGUGGCGAAGGCGGGUCUCUGGGCAGUAACUGACGCUGAGGAGCGAAAGCGUGGGAGCGAACAGGAUUAGAUACCCUGGUAGUCCACGCCGUAAACGGUGGGUACUAGGUGUGGGUUUCCUUCCUUGGGAUCCGUGCCGUAGCUAACGCAUUAAGUACCCCGCCUGGGGAGUACGGCCGCAAGGCUAAAACUCAAAGAAAUUGACGGGGGCCCGCACAAGCGGCGGAGCAUGUGGAUUAAUUCGAUGCAACGCGAAGAACCUUACCUGGGUUUGACAUGCACAGGACGCCGGCAGAGAUGUCGGUUCCCUUGUGGCCUGUGUGCAGGUGGUGCAUGGCUGUCGUCAGCUCGUGUCGUGAGAUGUUGGGUUAAGUCCCGCAACGAGCGCAACCCUUGUCUCAUGUUGCCAGCGGGUAAUGCCGGGGACUCGUGAGAGACUGCCGGGGUCAACUCGGAGGAAGGUGGGGAUGACGUCAAGUCAUCAUGCCCCUUAUGUCCAGGGCUUCACACAUGCUACAAUGGCGGGUACAAAGGGCUGCGAUGCCGCGAGGUUAAGCGAAUCCUUUUAAAGCCGGUCUCAGUUCGGAUCGGGGUCUGCAACUCGACCCCGUGAAGUCGGAGUCGCUAGUAAUCGCAGAUCAGCAACGCUGCGGUGAAUA
Molecule: ribosomal RNA, 827 nt
Filed under: uncultured Mycobacterium sp.
Lineage: Bacteria; Bacillati; Actinomycetota; Actinomycetes; Mycobacteriales; Mycobacteriaceae
Description: bacterial SSU rRNA
Rfam family: Bacterial small subunit ribosomal RNA
Source: RNAcentral